Molecule: ribosomal RNA, 122 nt
Filed under: Castor canadensis (American beaver)
Lineage: Eukaryota; Metazoa; Chordata; Mammalia; Rodentia; Castoridae
Source: RNAcentral
GUCUACUGCCAUAACACCUUGAACACACCCAAUCUUGUCUGGUCUCAAAAGCUAAGCAGGGUCAGGCCUGGUUAGUACUUGGAUGGAAGACAGAUCUUCAAAAGAGAAGCAGUUUGGAGACA